AUUGAACGCUGGCGGCAGGCCUAACACAUGCAAGUCGAGCGGAUGAAGGGAGCUUGCUCCUGGAUUCAGCGGCGGACGGGUGAGUAAUGCCUAGGAAUCUGCCUGGCAGUGGGGGAUAACGUCCGGAAACGGGCGCUAAUACCGCAUACGUCCUGAGGGUGAAAGUGGGGGAUCUUCGGACAUCACGCUAUCAGAUGAGCCUAGGUCGGAUUAGCUAGUUGGUGGGGUAAAGGCCUACCAAGGCGACGAUCCGUAACUGGUCUGAGAGGAUGAUCAGUCACACUGGAACUGAGACACGGUCCAGACUCCUACGGGAGGCAGCAGUGGGGAAUAUUGGGCAAUGGGCGAAAGCCUGAUCCAGCCAUGCCGCGUGUGUGAAGAAGGUCUUCGGAUUGUAAAGCACUUUAAGUUGGGAGGAAGGGCAGUAAGUUAAUACCUUGCUGUUUUGACGUUACCAACAGAAUAAGCACCGGCUAACUUCGUG
This 484-nucleotide ribosomal RNA is filed under the name uncultured bacterium. Its description in RNAcentral is "partial 16S ribosomal RNA". It matches the Rfam family "Bacterial small subunit ribosomal RNA", at positions 30 to 507 of the family's 1533-position model. The record is from RNAcentral.